ACGGAGGGUGCAAGCGUUAUUCGGAAUUACUGGGCGUAAAGGGAACGUAGGCGGCUUUGUAAGUCAGGGGUGAAACCCCACGGCUCAACGGUGGACUUGCCAUUGAAACUGUAGGUCUUGAAUCUUGUAGAGGGAGGCGGAAUUCUUGGUGUAGGGGUGAAAUCCGUAGAUAUCACGAGGAACACCGAUAGCGAAGGCAGCCACCUGGGCAGGCACUGACGCUGAUGCGCGAAAGUGUGGGGAGCGAACAG
Molecule: ribosomal RNA, 251 nt
Filed under: uncultured prokaryote
Description: partial 16S rRNA
Rfam family: Bacterial small subunit ribosomal RNA
Source: RNAcentral